Equus caballus (horse) is the source of this 694-nucleotide long non-coding RNA. The record is from Ensembl. Lineage: Eukaryota; Metazoa; Chordata; Mammalia; Perissodactyla; Equidae.
UUUGGAUUGGGAGAGAAAAGUCAGUGCAGCAGAAAUAAGGACCGUGGGCUCUGGGCCAUGUCUUGAUCUAAAGUUAUUUGUAUCUUCAGGGUGUGCUCUUGCCAUAUCAUGUGUAUAUCACUUUAAUUUCAAGAUGGAGUACUUCAGUGCACUCCCAACAUUAUGACUUACUUGGUCACAUGACACCCAGUUCAUGAUGAACAGCUCCAGUCACAUGGUAACUUGGUGGCCCAUGGUCAAAUAUUCAGUCUCUGGUAGGCCCCGUAGCAGGCCAAGUGAUGUUUCUCAAAAGUAGAUUAGACAUCUGCAGGUGAUAACAAGACCAUGCUCUAACAUCUUAAAACCCUGUCCUCUGCUUUCCAUAUUGGGACUGCCAAAGGCCCCAAAGAAAAUUUCUAUCUGCCUAUGAAACAUCUAAAAGAUUGAGUCCACCACAAUAUAUGGCCCAAGUGGCAGAGCAGCUUGCACAGCUGUCUGGAAUUGUUGCGGUGCCUUCUCUCAUUCUUACUGAGGGGAACACCAUGACAGUGGAUAAGGCAUUCUAAAACUCCAUGAAUGGUAGUAUUGGCAGAAGCAUUGCAUCAGAUCCAUCUGUCUUAUACACAGGCCAAAUAGAAGACUUGAAAAGGGAAUGAAUGUGUUCACAAUAAGCUUCAGGAAUGAAUGUUAUCUGAUGGCAUUACUUGAAAAGUUU